RNAcentral lists this transfer RNA (71 nucleotides) under Heliconius melpomene (postman butterfly). RNAcentral describes it as "tRNA HMEL005966". The record is from RNAcentral. Lineage: Eukaryota; Metazoa; Arthropoda; Insecta; Lepidoptera; Nymphalidae.
AUAGGUAGGCUUAGUGGUCAAAGCACUUGGACAGUAUCCAAGAGGCGCAGCUUCAAAUUCCACUACGUUUA